UCUCUGGUGGCCCAGAGGUUGAGACUCUGCACUUCCACUGCAGGGGGUACAGGUUUGAUCCCUGGUCAGAGAA
This 73-nucleotide transfer RNA is filed under the name Ovis aries (sheep). It matches the Rfam family "tRNA". Rfam says of the family: Transfer RNA (tRNA) molecules are approximately 80 nucleotides in length. Their secondary structure includes four short double-helical elements and three loops (D, anti-codon, and T loops). Lineage: Eukaryota; Metazoa; Chordata; Mammalia; Artiodactyla; Bovidae. The record is from Rfam by way of RNAcentral.